GGAGCAGUCCAGGAGGAGGUUAGAAAUAGGACUGCCGGGGCUGAGCGAGGGCAGAGGCAGUUCGGUUGGAGCUGUGGUCGGAUGCCUGAGGAGAGGAGAGCGUGAUUGAGGAGAGGACGGACGUCACUGUGUCUGACCGGAGUUAACCCGGGAGCAAAGGAGUGGAGGCGGAGCCGCAAAGCAGCGCUGUCAGCGGCGGCAUAGACAUAUCCGUGUAAGCCUCCAGUAUUAAGGGAAGAGACGCGGGGAGGAGCAAGACAGCGAGACGAGACUCCAGGGAGGAGCUGUACCGUUGGGCAGCCAAGGUCUCCGUGUGACAGUUGAGCGGCCGAGGUCCUCUGGAGAGGGGAGCGGGGACGGAGCAGCCUCCUGAGCCGGGAGAUAUCAUACCGCUGCCUCCGCUGUACUUAAACAUACAAUUAUACUUACCGUCGAAGGGUUCAGCAGGACGUGACUGACCUGGAAAAGAAGAGGAAGGAAUACUUACUGGUGGCGUUGUCUCCACGUCGGAGGAAGAACCUGCAACAAAGUAGUAGAAGGUAUAAAAGCCAGGAGCACUUGAUCUUCUUAACAAGUGAAAAGAGGACCAACAGUGCUGCUCAUUUUAUUGGGAGAUAUAAAACCAGGAUCACGUUACUACCAGAAACUAAAGUCUGCUCAAGGCUUUGAUGAUCCUGUGGUCAUCAACCUUGGUUAUUGCUGAAGGCCAGCGAUGUCCCUGUCUGUUGCUGCCUGCCAUCAUCUUUAAAUGUCAAUGAGAAACUUCAAGUGUAUUUCCACAACUGUAAAAUAUAUCACAUAAUAAUAAGAUAAAGUAAAGCCCACACUGCGUUUCUCAGAAGCUCAAAGGCAGAUCUUUCUGAUAUCAGUGCAACUCUCAACUCAGACCACGAUACGGCAGAGAGGCAAGGAUUGUUCCCACAGACGCUGACAUAAUGGCAGACAGAAUGUAUACAAAGGUUAUUUGCAUAUACUAAUAAUGGCACCAUAUGAUGACUGGAAUGGGUCAGUUUGACUUAAACUAAUCAAUUCUAUAAAUAGUUCACACAUGACCUUCCAUACAAGUUUCAGUAUGCACAUAGGGCGUGAUGCCUAGUUAUACACUGUGCCUGUGUUUUCGCAAUUGGGUGGUUAUUAUUAAACUGUGCA
Molecule: long non-coding RNA, 1149 nt
Organism: Pseudophryne corroboree (corroboree frog)
Lineage: Eukaryota; Metazoa; Chordata; Amphibia; Anura; Myobatrachidae
Exons: 5
Source: RefSeq, a predicted model, not a curated record